This 412-nucleotide long non-coding RNA is filed under the name Hordeum vulgare. Its description in RNAcentral is "long non-coding RNA (HVUL_LNC006905)". Lineage: Eukaryota; Viridiplantae; Streptophyta; Magnoliopsida; Poales; Poaceae. The record is from RNAcentral.
CAGAAGCUUCAGGAUCACCGAAGGGGGGCUAGAGGGGGGCCAAGGGCCUCCCAGGCGGCGAGGACCUAGGCCGCGCCAGGAGGUCGUUUGGGCAGGGCCCACCUCCUCGGGUGCCCUCCUUUGGCCUAUAUUUAGAGUCCCGAGAGGAAACCCUGACAGACAAUCUGGAAUCGUGAAUUUCUCCACCGUUCUGUCGCCGCAGCUCUUCCGAGAUUGAGAGCGUCAGGAGACCUCUUCCCGGCAACCUGCCGGUGGAAGGAUUGACCUUCGGGAGCUUCUCCACCACCAUGGAUGCUUCCCGGAUGUGCCGUGAGUAGUUUCCCUUGGACCAUGACUCCAUGGCCAGUAGCUAUGUGAUGUCUUCUCUCCAAUCUUGUGCUUCAAUGGUUAGUCCAUGUGAGCUGCCCUACAU